This 500-nucleotide ribosomal RNA is filed under the name uncultured bacterium. RNAcentral describes it as "partial 16S ribosomal RNA". It matches the Rfam family "Bacterial small subunit ribosomal RNA", at positions 30 to 523 of the family's 1533-position model. The record is from RNAcentral.
AUUGAACGCUGGCGGCAUGCCUUACACAUGCAAGUCGAACGGCAGCACGGGAGCAAUCCUGGUGGCGAGUGGCGAACGGGUGAGUAAAGUAUCGGAACGUGCCCAGUCGUGGGGGAUAACGUAGCGAAAGUUACGCUAAUACCGCAUACGAUCUACGGAUGAAAGCGGGGGAUCGCAAGACCUCGCGCGAUUGGAGCGGCCGAUAUCAGAUUAGCUAGUUGGUGAGGUAAAGGCUCACCAAGGCGACGAUCUGUAGCUGGUCUGAGAGGACGACCAGCCACACUGGAACUGAGACACGGUCCAGACUCCUACGGGAGGCAGCAGUGGGGAAUUUUGGACAAUGGGCGCAAGCCUGAUCCAGCCAUGCCGCGUGCAGGAUGAAGGCCUUCGGGUUGUAAACUGCUUUUGUACGGAACGAAAAGGUUUGACUUAAUACGUUGGACUCAUGACGGUACCGUAAGAAUAAGCACCGGCUAACUACGUGCCAGCAGCCGCCGUAA